GACGAACGCUGGCGGCGUGCUUAACACAUGCAAGUCGAACGGAAAGGCCCUGCUUUUGUGGGGUGCUCGAGUGGCGCACGGGUGAGUAACACGUGAGUAACCUGCCCUUGACUUUGGGAUAACUUCAGGAAACUGGGGCUAAUACCGGAUAGGAGCUCCUGCUGCAUGGUGGGGGUUGGAAAGUUUCGGCGGUUGGGGAUGGACUCGCGGCUUAUCAGCUUGUUGGUGGGGUAGUGGCUUACCAAGGCUUUGACGGGUAGCCGGCCUGAGAGGGUUACCGGCCACAUUGGGACUGAGAUACGGCGCAGACGCCUACGGGAGGCAGCAGUGGAGAAUAUUGCACAAUGGGCGGAAGCCUGAUGCAGCAACGCCGCGUGCGGGAUGACGGCCUUCGGGUUGUAAACCGCUUUCGCCUGUGACGAAGCGGGAGUGACGGUAAUGGGUAAAGAAGCACCGGCUAACUACGUG
Molecule: ribosomal RNA, 468 nt
Filed under: uncultured bacterium
Lineage: Bacteria
Description: partial 16S ribosomal RNA
Rfam family: Bacterial small subunit ribosomal RNA
Source: RNAcentral